UACGUAGGGGGCGAGCGUUAUCCGGAUUCAUUGGGCGUAAAGAGCGCGUAGGCGGCUUGGUAAGUCAGAUGUGAAAACUGGGGGCUCAACCCGCAGCCUGCAUCUGAAACUGCCAGGCUUGAGUCUGGUAGAGGAAAGUGGAAUUCCAGGUGUAGCGGUGAAAUGCGCAGAUAUCUGGAGGAACACCAGUGGCGAAGGCGGCUUUCUGGGCCACGACUGACGCUGAGGCGCGAAAGCUAGGGGAGCAAAC
RNAcentral lists this ribosomal RNA (250 nucleotides) under uncultured bacterium. Its description in RNAcentral is "partial 16S ribosomal RNA". It matches the Rfam family "Bacterial small subunit ribosomal RNA", at positions 524 to 773 of the family's 1533-position model. The record is from RNAcentral.